This 253-nucleotide ribosomal RNA is filed under the name uncultured bacterium. RNAcentral's name for it is "partial 16S ribosomal RNA". It matches the Rfam family "Bacterial small subunit ribosomal RNA", at positions 524 to 776 of the family's 1533-position model. The record is from RNAcentral.
UACGUAGGCAGCAAGCGUUGUUCGGAAUUACUGGGCGUAAAGAGUGUGUAGGUGGUUUCGUAAGUUUGGUGUGAAAUCUCCCGGCUUAACUGGGAGGGUGCGCCGAAGACUGCGAUGCUGGAGUAUGGGAGAGGAAAGCGGAAUUCCUGGUGUAGCGGUGAAAUGCGUAGAUAUCAGGAGGAACACCUGCGGUGUAGACGGCUUUCUGGACCAUUACUGACACUGAGACACGAAAGCGUGGGUAGCAAACAGG